RNAcentral lists this long non-coding RNA (872 nucleotides) under Homo sapiens (human). RNAcentral's name for it is "non-protein coding lnc-ZNF487-1:5". Lineage: Eukaryota; Metazoa; Chordata; Mammalia; Primates; Hominidae. The record is from RNAcentral.
AGGCUCUGCGGAGAGCGGCUGCCACUCGCCUCUGUUUUUUUCUUGAGACCUAGUCUGGCUCUGUGGCUCAGGCUGGAGUGCAGUGGCGUGAUCACCGCUCACUGCAGCCUCAGCCUCCUCUCGCCUCAGCCGCUCGGUAGCUGGGACCACCAGCGGGCGCCACCACUCCCGGCUACAUUUUUUUGUAUUUUUAGUAGAGACGUGGGUCUCGCCAUGUUGGCUAGGCUGCUGCCGAACUCCGGGGCUCAAGCGAUCCGCCCGCCUGGGCCUCCCAAAGUGCUGAGACUGCAGGCAUGAGCCACCGCGCCCGGCCGAGAGCCUCUUUUGGCUCCUCCUUUCGCCUUUCCGGGGCCAGGCGUGUGCAGCUCUGUGAAGGGUCCCCUCCCUCUGCGGGACGUCCUCGCUGCCGAGGUCAGAGGUGCGGAGAACAUGAGACCCGAGGUCUCAACUGCUUCUUACCAAUAUUAAUUCCAGUGACUACUAUCAGAAUAUGAUGAGCAAUCCACUCAUCAGAGAAGCUGUUUCUACACUCUCCUGAAUGACCAUUUUAUAGAUGCUGGGAAAAAAUUGUAUUAAAGACUAUGAGUUAGCUGGGCUUGGUGGCUCACGCCUGUAAUCCCAGCACUUUGUGAAGCCAAGGCGGGAGCAUCGAUUGAGCCUAGCAGUUCAAGACCAACCUUGGCGGCAUAAGCGAGACCCUGUCUCUACAAAAAUUUUAAAAUUAGCCAGGUGUGGUGGUGUGCACCUAUAAUCUUAGCUACUUGGGAAGCUGAGGUGGGAGGAUUACUCAGCCUAGGAGGUUGAGGUUACAGUGAGCUGGGAUCACACCACUGCCCUUCAGCCUGGGUGACAGAGCAGGACCCCGUCUCUUA